GAUAAUAGCUACAACUUCCAUCCA
Molecule: non-coding RNA, 24 nt
Filed under: Arabidopsis thaliana (thale cress)
Lineage: Eukaryota; Viridiplantae; Streptophyta; Magnoliopsida; Brassicales; Brassicaceae
Source: RNAcentral